GGGCCCGCACAAGCAGCGGAGCAUGUGGUUUAAUUCGAAGCAACGCGAAGAACCUUACCCAGACUUGACAUCUCCUGAAUUAAUCGUAAUUGAUGAAAUCCCUUCGGGGACAGGAAGACAGGUGGUGCAUGGUUGUCGUCAGCUCGUGUCGUGAGAUGUUAGGUUAAGUCCUGCAACGAGCGCAACCCUUAUCAUUAGUUGCUAACAUUUAGUUGAGCACUCUAGUGAGACUGCCCGGGUUAACCGGGAGGAAGGUGGGGAUGACGUCAAAUCAUCAUGCCCCUUAUGUCUGGGGCUACACACGUGCUACAAUGGUGGGAACAAAGAGAUGCAAUACCGCAAGGUGGAGCCAAACUUCAAAACCCAUCCCAGUUCGGAUUGUAGGCUGAAACUCGCCUACAUGAAGCUGGAGUUGCUAGUAAUCGCGAAUCAGAAUGUCGCGGUGAAUACGUUCCCGGGCCUUGUACACACCGCCCGUCACACCAUGAGAGUCGGCAACACCCGAAGCCCGUGAGGUAACCUUUUGGAACCAGCGGUCGAAGGUGGGGUUGAUAAUUGGGGUGAAGUCGUAACAAGGUAGCCGUAGGAGAACCUGCGGCU
Molecule: ribosomal RNA, 600 nt
Filed under: uncultured Clostridium sp.
Lineage: Bacteria; Bacillati; Bacillota; Clostridia; Eubacteriales; Clostridiaceae
Description: bacterial SSU rRNA
Rfam family: Bacterial small subunit ribosomal RNA
Source: RNAcentral